RNAcentral lists this ribosomal RNA (352 nucleotides) under uncultured Streptococcus sp. Its description in RNAcentral is "bacterial SSU rRNA". It matches the Rfam family "Bacterial small subunit ribosomal RNA", at positions 1028 to 1382 of the family's 1533-position model. Lineage: Bacteria; Bacillati; Bacillota; Bacilli; Lactobacillales; Streptococcaceae. The record is from RNAcentral.
UCGGUGACAGGUGGUGGCAUGGUUGUCGUCAGCUCGUGUCGUGAGAUGUGGUUAAGUCCCGCAACGAGCGCAACCCCUAUUGUUAGUUGCCAUCAUUCAGUUGGGCACUCUAGCGAGACUGCCGGUAAUAAACCGGAGGAAGGUGGGGAUGACGUCAAAUCAUCAUGCCCCUUAUGACCUGGGCUACACACGUGCUACAAUGGUUGGUACAACGAGUUGCGAGUCGGUGACGGCGAGCUAAUCUCUUAAAGCCAAUCUCAGUUCGGAUUGUAGGCUGCAACUCGCCUACAUGAAGUCGGAAUCGCUAGUAAUCGCGGAUCAGCACGCCGCGGUGAAUACGUUCCCGGGCCUU